GGGAAUAUUGGACAAUGGGGGAAACCCUGAUCCAGCAAUGCCGCGUGAGUGAAGAAGGCCUUAGGGUUGUAAAGCUCUUUCGCCCGCGAAGAUAAUGACGGUAGCGGGAGAAGAAGCCCCGGCUAACUCCGUGCCAGCAGCCGCGGUAAUACGGAGGGGGCUAGCGUUGUUCGGAAUUACUGGGCGUAAAGCGUACGUAGGCGGAUGCGCAAGUUGGGGGUGAAAUCCCGGGGCUUAACCUCGGAAUUGCCCUCAAAACUGCACGUCUUGAGACCGAGAGAGGUAAGGGGAAUUCCUAGUGUAGAGGUGAAAUUCGUAGAUAUUAGGAAGAACACCAGUGGCGAAGGCGCCUUACUGGCUCGGUACUGACGCUGAGGUACGAAAGCGUGGGGAGCAAACA
Molecule: ribosomal RNA, 400 nt
Filed under: uncultured bacterium
Lineage: Bacteria
Description: bacterial SSU rRNA
Rfam family: Bacterial small subunit ribosomal RNA
Source: RNAcentral